RNAcentral lists this transfer RNA (71 nucleotides) under bacterium. RNAcentral describes it as "tRNA-Pro". It matches the Rfam family "tRNA". From Rfam's summary of the family: Transfer RNA (tRNA) molecules are approximately 80 nucleotides in length. Their secondary structure includes four short double-helical elements and three loops (D, anti-codon, and T loops). Further hydrogen bonds mediate the characteristic L-shaped molecular structure. tRNAs have two regions of fundamental functional importance: the anti-codon, which is responsible for specific mRNA codon recognition, and the 3' end, to which the tRNAs corresponding amino acid is attached (by aminoacyl-tRNA synthetases). tRNAs cope with the degeneracy of the genetic code in two manners: having more than one tRNA (with a specific anti-codon) for a particular amino acid; and 'wobble' base-pairing, i.e. permitting non-standard base-pairing at the 3rd anti-codon position. The record is from RNAcentral.
CGGGCCGGAGUAUGGCGGUAGUACGCACCCUUCGGGAGGGUGUAGACCGGGUUCGACUCCCGGCGGCCCGA